This 468-nucleotide ribosomal RNA is filed under the name uncultured bacterium. RNAcentral describes it as "partial 16S ribosomal RNA". It matches the Rfam family "Bacterial small subunit ribosomal RNA", at positions 28 to 507 of the family's 1533-position model. The record is from RNAcentral.
GACGAACGCUGGCGGCGUGCUUAACACAUGCAAGUCGAACGGAAAGGCCCUGCUUUUGUGGGGUGCUCGAGUGGCGAACGGGUGAGUAACACGUGAUUAACCUGCCCUUGACUUUGGGAUAACUUCAGGAAACUGGGGCUAAUACCGGAUAGGAGCUCCUGCUGCAUGGUGGGGGUUGGAAAGUUUCGGCGGUUGGGGAUGGACUCGCGGCUUAUCAGCUUGUUGGUGGGGUAGUGGCUUACCAAGGCUUUGACGGGUAGCCGGCCUGAGAGGGUGACCGGCCACAUUGGGACUGAGAUACGGCCCAGACUCCUACGGGAGGCAGCAGUGGGGAAUAUUGCAAAAUGGGCGGAAGCCUGAUGCAGCAACGCCGCGUGCGGGAUGACGGCCUUCGGGUUGUAAACCGCUUUCGCCUGUGACGAAGCGUGAGUGACGGUAAUGGGUAAAGAAGCACCGGCUAACUACGUG